UACGUAGGGUGCGAGCGUUAAUCGGAAUUACUGGGCGUAAAGCGUGCGCAGGCGGUUUUUUAAGACAGGCGUGAAAUCCCCGGGCUUAACCUGGGAACGGCGCUUGUGACUGGGAGGCUAGAGUACGGCAGAGGGGGGUGGAAUUCCACGUGUAGCAGUGAAAUGCGUAGAGAUGUGGAGGAACACCGAUGGCGAAGGCAGCCCCCUGGGCCGAUACUGACGCUCAUGCACGAAAGCGUGGGGAGCAAACAGG
This 253-nucleotide ribosomal RNA is filed under the name uncultured bacterium. RNAcentral describes it as "partial 16S ribosomal RNA". It matches the Rfam family "Bacterial small subunit ribosomal RNA", at positions 524 to 776 of the family's 1533-position model. The record is from RNAcentral.